GCUGAGUAUUAGGCAAAUCCGGUACUCGUUAAGGCUGAGCUGUGAUGGGGAGAAGACAUUGUGUCUUCGAGUCGUUGAUUUCACACUGCCGAGAAAAGCCUCUAGAUAGAAAAUAGGUGCCCGUACCGCAAACCGACACAGGUAGUCAAGAUGAGAAUUCUAAGGUGAGCGAGCGAACUCUCGUUAAGGAACUCGGCAAAAUGACCCCGUAACUUCGGGAGAAGGGGUGCUCUUUAGGGUUAACGCCCAGAAGAGCCGCAGUGAAUAGGCCCAAGCGACUGUUUAUCAAAAACACAGGUCUCUGCUAAACCGUAAGGUGAUGUAUAGGGGCUGACGCCUGCCCGGUGCUGGAAGGUUAAGAGGAGUGGUUAGCUUCUGCGAAGCUACGAAUCGAAGCCCCAGUAAACGGCGGCCGUAACUAUAACGGUCCUAAGGUAGCGAAAUUCCUUGUCGGGUAAGUUCCGACCCGCACGAAAGGCGUAACGAUUUGGGCACUGUCUCAACGAGAGACUCGGUGAAAUCAUAGUACCUGUGAAGAUGCAGGUUACCCGCGACAGGACGGAAAGACCCCGUGGAGCUUUACUGUAGCCUGAUAUUGAAAUUCGGCACAGCUUGUACAGGAUAGGUAGGAGCCUUUGAAACGUGAGCGCUAGCUUACGUGGAGGCGCUGGUGGGAUACUACCCUAGCUGUGUUGGCUUUCUAACCCGCACCACUUAUCGUGGUGGGAGACAGUGUCAGGCGGGCAGUUUGACUGGGGCGGUCGCCUCCUAAAAGGUAACGGAGGCGCUCAAAGGUUCCCUCAGAAUGGUUGGAAAUCAUUCAUAGAGUGUAAAGGCAUAAGGGAGCUUGACUGCGAGACCUACAAGUCGAGCAGGGUCGAAAGACGGACUUAGUGAUCCGGUGGUUCCGCAUGGAAGGGCCAUCGCUCAACGGAUAAAAGCUACCCCGGGGAUAACAGGCUUAUCUCCCCCAAGAGUUCACAUCGACGGGGAGGUUUGGCACCUCGAUGUCGGCUCAUCGCAUCCUGGGGCUGUAGUCGGUCCCAAGGGUUGGGCUGUUCGCCCAUUAAAGCGGUACGCGAGCUGGGUUCAGAACGUCGUGAGACAGUUCGGUCCCUAUCCGUCGUGGGCGUAGGAAAUUUGAGAGGAGCUGUCCUUAGUACGAGAGGACCGGGAUGGACAUACCUCUGGUGUACCAGUUGUCGUGCCAACGGCAUAGCUGGGUAGCUAUGUGUGGACGGGAUAAGUGCUGAAAGCAUCUAAGCAUGAAGCCCCCCUCAAGAUGAGAUUUCCCAACUUCGGUUAUAAGAUCCCUCAAAGAUGAUGAGGUUAAUAGGUUCGAGGUGGAAGCAUGGUGACAUGUGGAGCUGACGAAUACUAA
This 1381-nucleotide ribosomal RNA is filed under the name Staphylococcus aureus. RNAcentral describes it as "partial 23S ribosomal RNA". It matches the Rfam family "Bacterial large subunit ribosomal RNA", at positions 1524 to 2904 of the family's 2925-position model. Lineage: Bacteria; Bacillati; Bacillota; Bacilli; Caryophanales; Staphylococcaceae. The record is from RNAcentral.